Molecule: non-coding RNA, 112 nt
Filed under: Desulforamulus aeronauticus
Lineage: Bacteria; Bacillati; Bacillota; Clostridia; Eubacteriales; Peptococcaceae
Description: Desulfotomaculum aeronauticum SAM-I sequence
Rfam family: SAM riboswitch aptamer (S box leader)
About the family: The SAM riboswitch is found upstream of a number of genes which code for proteins involved in methionine or cysteine biosynthesis in Gram-positive bacteria. The SAM riboswitch acts at the level of transcription termination control. The predicted structure consists of a complex stem-loop region followed by a single stem loop terminator region.
Source: RNAcentral
AUCUUAUCUAGAGUGGUGGAGGGACUGGCCCUAUGAAGCCCGGCAACCGGCCAUAAUAACUGGCGACGGUGCCAACUCCUGCGGAACCAGAAAAGGUUCUGAGAGAUGAGGG